UACGUCGGGUGCAAGCGUUACUCGGAAUUACUGGGCGUAAAGCGUGCGCAGGCGGUUUUGUAAGACCGAUGUGAAAUCCCCGGGCUUAACCUGGGAACUGCAUUGGUGACUGCAAGGCUUGAGUGUGUCAGAGGGAGGUGGAAUUCCGCGUGUAGCAGUGAAAUGCGUAGAUAUGCGGAGGAACACCGAUGGCGAAGGCAGCCUCCUGGGAUAACACUGACGCUCAUGCACGAAAGCGUGGGGAGCAAACAGG
Molecule: ribosomal RNA, 253 nt
Filed under: uncultured bacterium
Lineage: Bacteria
Description: partial 16S ribosomal RNA
Rfam family: Bacterial small subunit ribosomal RNA
Source: RNAcentral